This 490-nucleotide ribosomal RNA is filed under the name uncultured bacterium. Its description in RNAcentral is "partial 16S ribosomal RNA". It matches the Rfam family "Bacterial small subunit ribosomal RNA", at positions 28 to 507 of the family's 1533-position model. The record is from RNAcentral.
GAUGAACGCUAGCUACAGGCUUAACACAUGCAAGUCGCGGGGCAGCAUGGGGGUUGCUUGCAAUCCCCGAUGGCGACCGGCGCACGGGUGAGUAACGCGUAUCCAACCUGCCCUUCACCACGGGCUAACCCGGCGAAAGUCGGACUAAUACCGUAUGUUGUCCAUUGACGGCAUCCGAUUUGGACGAAAGGUUUGGCGGUGAAGGAUGGGGAUGCGUCCGAUUGGCUGGACGGCGGGGUGACGGCCCACCGUGGCGGCGAUCGGUAGGGGUUCUGAGAGGAAGGUCCCCCACACUGGAACUGAGACACGGUCUCGACUGCUACGGGAGGCAGCAGUGAGGAAUAUUGGUCGAUGGGCGUAAGCCUGAACCAGCCAAGUAGCGUGCAGGAGGACGGCCCUAUGGGUUGUAAACUGCUUUUAUGCGGGGAUAAAGUGGCCCACGUGUGGGUUUUUGCAGGUACCGCAUGAAUAAGGACCGGCUAAUUCCGUG